GGCCGCCAACGGCUACAGAGGGGGUUAUGAUGGCUAUCGGCCUCCCUUCCCCAAUGUAGGGGGCAACUACAGCCAGACUCAAUUUGGAAACGCCCCACGGGAGUACAGCAACAACACCUACCAGAGGGAUGGCUACCAGCAGCAGGGCUUUAAGCGGGGUGCAGGUCAGAGCUCUCGGGCGUAUCUCGAGGUAACGG
Clupea harengus (Atlantic herring) is the source of this 197-nucleotide long non-coding RNA. RefSeq lists it as uncharacterized. The record is from RefSeq and is a predicted model, not a curated record. The transcript is spliced from 3 exons. NCBI's taxonomy places the organism in Eukaryota, Metazoa, Chordata, Actinopteri, Clupeiformes, Clupeidae.